RNAcentral lists this ribosomal RNA (1880 nucleotides) under Campylobacter jejuni. RNAcentral's name for it is "partial 23S ribosomal RNA". It matches the Rfam family "Bacterial large subunit ribosomal RNA", at positions 1 to 1885 of the family's 2925-position model. Lineage: Bacteria; Pseudomonadati; Campylobacterota; Epsilonproteobacteria; Campylobacterales; Campylobacteraceae. The record is from RNAcentral.
AGGUAAGCUACUAAGAGCGAAUGGUGGAUGCCUUGACUGGUAAAGGCGAUGAAGGACGUACUAGACUGCGAUAAGCUACGGGGAGCUGUCAAGAAGCUUUGAUCCGUAGAUUUCCGAAUGGGUCAACCCAAUGUAUAGAGAUAUACAUUACCUAUAUAGGAGCGAACGAGGGGAAUUGAAACAUCUUAGUACCCUCAGGAAAAGAAAUCAAUAGAGAUUGCGUCAGUAGCGGCGAGCGAAAGCGCAAGAGGGCAAACCCAGUGCUUGCACUGGGGGUUGUAGGACUGCAAUGUGCAAGAGGUAAGUUUAGCAGAACAUUCUGGAAAGUAUAACCAUAGAGGGUGAUAGUCCCGUAUGCGAAAAACAAACCUUAGCUAGCAGUAUCCUGAGUAGGGCGGGACACGAGGAAUCCUGUCUGAAUCCGGGUCGACCACGAUCCAACCCUAAAUACUAAUACCAGAUCGAUAGUGCACAAGUACCGUGAGGGAAAGGUGAAAAGAACUGAGGUGAUCAGAGUGAAAUAGAACCUGAAACCAUUUGCUUACAAUCAUUCAGAGCCCUAUGUAGCAAUACAGGGUGAUGGACUGCCUUUUGCAUAAUGAGCCUGCGAGUUGUGGUGUCUGGCAAGGUUAAGCAAACGCGAAGCCGUAGCGAAAGCGAGUCUGAAUAGGGCGCUUAGUCAGAUGCUGCAGACCCGAAACGAAGUGAUCUAUCCAUGAGCAAGUUGAAGCUAGUGUAAGAACUAGUGGAGGACUGAACCCAUAGGCGUUGAAAAGCCCCGGGAUGACUUGUGGAUAGGGGUGAAAGGCCAAUCAAACUUCGUGAUAGCUGGUUCUCUCCGAAAUAUAUUUAGGUAUAGCGUUGUGUCGUAAUAUAAGGGGGUAGAGCACUGAAUGGGCUAGGGCAUACACCAAUGUACCAAACCCUAUCAAACUCCGAAUACCUUAUAUGUAAUCACAGCAGUCAGGCGGCGAGUGAUAAAAUCCGUCGUCAAGAGGGAAACAACCCAGACUACCAGCUAAGGUCCCUAAAUCUUACUUAAGUGGAAAACGAUGUGAAGUUACUUAAACAACCAGGAGGUUGGCUUAGAAGCAGCCAUCCUUUAAAGAAAGCGUAAUAGCUCACUGGUCUAGUGAUUUUGCGCGGAAAAUAUAACGGGGCUAAAGUAAGUACCGAAGCUGUAGACUUAGUUUACUAAGUGGUAGGAGAGCGUUCUAUUUGCGUCGAAGGUAUACCGGUAAGGAGUGCUGGAGCGAAUAGAAGUGAGCAUGCAGGCAUGAGUAGCGAUAAUUAAUGUGAGAAUCAUUAACGCCGUAAACCCAAGGUUUCCUACGCGAUGCUCGUCAUCGUAGGGUUAGUCGGGUCCUAAGUCGAGUCCGAAAGGGGUAGACGAUGGCAAAUUGGUUAAUAUUCCAAUACCAACAUUAGUGUGCGAUGGAAGGACGCUUAGGGCUAAGGGGGCUAGCGGAUGGAAGUGCUAGUCUAAGGUCGUAGGAGGUUGUACAGGCAAAUCCGUAUAACAAUACUCCGAGAACUGAAAGGCUUUUUGAAGUCUUCGGAUGGAUAGAAGAACCCCUGAUGCCGUCGAGCCAAGAAAAGUUUCUAAGUUUAGCUAAUGUUGCCCGUACCGUAAACCGACACAGGUGGGUGGGAUGAGUAUUCUAAGGCGCGUGGAAGAACUCUCUUUAAGGAACUCUGCAAAAUAGCACCGUAUCUUCGGUAUAAGGUGUGGUUAGCUUUGUAUUAGGAUUUACUCCGAAAGCAAGGAAACUUACAACAAAGAGUCCCUCCCGACUGUUUACCAAAAACACAGCACUCUGCUAACUCGUAAGAGGAUGUAUAGGGUGUGACGCCUGCCCGGUGCUCGAAGGUUAAUUGAU